RNAcentral lists this ribosomal RNA (253 nucleotides) under uncultured bacterium. Its description in RNAcentral is "partial 16S ribosomal RNA". It matches the Rfam family "Bacterial small subunit ribosomal RNA", at positions 524 to 776 of the family's 1533-position model. The record is from RNAcentral.
UACAGAGGGGGCAAGCGUUGUUCGGAAUUACUGGGCGUAAAGGGCGCGUAGGCGGCCCGCUAAGUCGAACGUGAAAUCCCCGGGCUCAACCCGGGAACUGCGUCCGAUACUGGCAGGCUUGAAUCCGGGAGAGGGAUGUGGAAUUCCAGGUGUAGCGGUGAAAUGCGUAGAUAUCGUAAGGAAGACCAGUGGCGAAGGCGGGUCUCUGGACAGUUCCUGACGCUGAGGCACGAAGGCCAGGGGAGCAAACGGG